Molecule: unclassified non-coding RNA, 251 nt
Filed under: Hevea brasiliensis (rubber tree)
Lineage: Eukaryota; Viridiplantae; Streptophyta; Magnoliopsida; Malpighiales; Euphorbiaceae
Source: RNAcentral
AAUCCACCACUCCAUUACUGCCCUGGUCUUGAAUGGGCAUACGAUGAGCUGAAGCGUCAGCAGAGAGAAAAUCUGUCAGUAGGUGAGACAUCCUACAGCUCUGAAAGUUAGUGUGCUCUCGUUGGCGGUGGCGCGAGCCUUGUUGCUUGGUUUAAUGUACUAAACUUUCUAUGAUUUCUAAGUAUGUUGUGUGUCUUUUAGUUACAGGCAAGUGUAGAUCUUUUUUUGAAAUACUCGGCACUGAAUAAUGG